This 468-nucleotide ribosomal RNA is filed under the name uncultured bacterium. RNAcentral describes it as "partial 16S ribosomal RNA". It matches the Rfam family "Bacterial small subunit ribosomal RNA", at positions 28 to 507 of the family's 1533-position model. The record is from RNAcentral.
GACGAACGCUGGCGGCGUGCUUAACACAUGCAAGUCGAGCGGAAAGGCCCUGCUUUUGUGGGGUGCUCGAGUGGCGAACGGGUGAGUAACACGUGAGUAACCUGCCCUUGACUUUGGGAUAACUUCAGGAAACUGGGGCUAAUACCGGAUAGGAGCUCCUGCUGCAUGGUGGGGGUUGGAAAGUUUCGGCGGUUGGGGAUGGACUCGCGGCUUAUCAGCUUGUUGGUGGGGUAGUGGCUUACCAAGGCUUUGACGGGUAGCCGGCCUGAGAGGGUGACCGGCCACAUUGGGACUGAGAUACGGCCCAGACUCCUACGGGAGGCAGCAGUGGGGAAUAUUGCACAAUGGGCGGAAGCCUGAUGCAGCAACGCCGCGUGCGGGAUGACGGCCUUCGGGUUGUAAACCGCUUUCGCCUGUGACGAAGCGUGAGUGACGGUAAUGAGUAAAGAAGCACCGGCUAACUACGUG